Sorghum bicolor (sorghum) is the source of this 74-nucleotide small nucleolar RNA. It matches the Rfam family "Small nucleolar RNA R66". From Rfam's summary of the family: snoR66 is a C/D box small nucleolar RNA, which acts as a methylation guide for 18S ribosomal RNA in plants. snoR66 has been alternatively named snoZ269 in rice. The record is from Rfam. NCBI's taxonomy places the organism in Eukaryota, Viridiplantae, Streptophyta, Magnoliopsida, Poales, Poaceae.
CCCCGUGAUGGCACAAUCUUUGAGACCUGAGAUUUUCUUCCUUGAUGAAUUUCAAAAGCAUGAUUACUGAGGGC